AGGCAGAGGCGGGAGGAGAUCGAGGCGAGGUUGGAGGAGGAGCGGACGCUAAGGCAGGAUCAAGAGCGCAGGUGGCAGGAAGAGCGGAUUCAGGAAAGGCAGAGGAUGGAGCAGGCGCUUCUUGCUAAGCGACAGGCCGCGCAACAACAGAUGCAGACCAUGUUCGUCUACAUCCAAGGUCUUGGCGCGUCAGUCAACUAUCAACCGCCGCCAACGGUGACUUGGCCUCCACCACCUCUUCCACAGAUAGGCUUCGCACCUGGCGCUAUAGUCACUCCUAAUCAAUCGGUGGGGGCGUCAAAUGACCCUCCGGACCAACAUUCGCCGGCACCGGCGCCGCACUGGCCACCUAGCUCAUAGAGAUGUUUAUGGUAUCUGUUCUGCUUGUUGGACUAGCCUAGUUUUAUUUGUUGGACUUGUGCUUGUUAGACGGCAUACUUAUGGCAUCGAUGUUGGACUUGUGGUAUUUGUGCGAUAUUUGUGCUAUAUUCAUGAUAUUUGUGCUAUAUUUGUGAUAUUGUGCUAUAUUUGUGAUAUUUAUGCGAUAUUUGUGCUA
Molecule: long non-coding RNA, 556 nt
Organism: Panicum virgatum (switchgrass)
Lineage: Eukaryota; Viridiplantae; Streptophyta; Magnoliopsida; Poales; Poaceae
Exons: 2
Source: RefSeq, a predicted model, not a curated record